CCUGAUGGCCAUAGCGAGUUGGAACCACCCCUUCCCAUCCCGAACAGGACCGUGAAACGACUUUGCGCCGAUGAUAGUGAGCUUUCGCUCGUGAAAGUAGGGCACCGUCAGGC
This 113-nucleotide ribosomal RNA is filed under the name Burkholderiales bacterium LSUCC0115. The record is from RNAcentral. RNAcentral also lists the same sequence under 3 other names. Lineage: Bacteria; Pseudomonadati; Pseudomonadota; Betaproteobacteria; Burkholderiales.